UCUCAUGAAGCAAAUGGUAUCAGUCUCAUAGUAGUUGCGAAUUGCUUUAUUCGGUAUAGAGAGGCUCAAAGCAGAGGAAGCUAAAGCUAGGUUUGGACACAUUGGUUGAAGAUCACCUCACAUUGUUUGAACGUCAAGCAAAACAGUAAGUAAUUUAUCCCUUUGUAUGUAGCUGCUUUAGACAAUUAAAAUUUACUGUAACUAACUUGGUCAAUGCAAAAUUUCACAACGAUGAAGAUGCCAAUUGGUGCUAUGAAAACAGAGAGAUGAAAUCUGCAGACAAUGAUAAGAGAGCAGCUAGUUCAGAGAUAAUGUCAAAGUUCACAACCUAAAGAUGUGCAGCACUCAUUUAAACUACUACAUCAACAUAAGGUAAGGCCAUGCUUGUCGGUUAUUUCAUGCUAGUGGCUUACAUAGAACGCACUAGUCAUUACUUGACAACCAAGUAUGUCAAGACUUGUUGUAUCGUUGGACAAGAGAAGCAAUCCAAAUCAAGGUAUUAGCAUGUUCGUAAUACUCGUCAUCUUUUAAUUUGAUUUGGAGAAUUCAUAAAUUUGUGUGGUAUUAUAAAAUAAAGAUUGACAUCUCUGAUUCUCAUGGGUUAGUUUGGAACAUACAGGUGUAACUGCUCCCUCUUGUCUGUGGUUUCAAAUUUCAGAACAACCACCAAGUCGCUUCCAGAUUCUCAAGACAUCACAUCCUUGCAGGUAUAUACUAUACUUUCUUACUUUCUUACCUUUUUCUUUUUAGUUAAAGAAUAAUCAUUCUGAUUUAAAGAUAUACAAAAGUAGAUUUUUUUAAAAUGUUUUUUCACUUCUAAUUUUUAUGAUUUAAAAAACUAAAUAUCAAAGUUUUUAUCAAAUAAUUUUCAAGUAAAUAGUUUUAAUUUUUAAUUUAACCAAAAUAUUUUUUUUUAUAUAUAAACUAAGUGUUAAAUUGAAAUACGUUGAAAACAAACCGGCCCUAGCAUCCAGUCCCUUUGGGGUCCGUCAGUUUGGUGUGAAAGUUCAACAUGUUUUCAUGUAUUGUAAAUUUAAUGCUUAGCAUGUUUUAAAGCUUUAUAUUAAGUAAACUGUUUAGGUUUUCGACUAAGUAACCUAACCUAGCAUCCAGUCCUUUGAAAGAAACGUAGUCCUCCAAAAAAAUAGGUCUUUGAGGUUUUUAUACCAACACGUAAAAUGAUCAUCAAAUUUUAGAACUGUUGCUUAGAAAUUACGGUUUUUUUUAGCAAAUGUAUAUUUUUCAAUUAAGUAUAUAUUAAAAUGAUAUAAUAUCUAAAUGUUGCUAUGGGUAUGCUUAAACUUGUUACCAAUUUUCAUUAUGCAACUAGUCUAAUGCGCAAUAGAACUUAGCUUUUGUUGGGAUAAGCUUGAAGAAGAAGACUUAGGAGACAAGUUACUUAUUCCUAGUUGAGUUAUGACUUAGGAAUUGGAUUGUGUUUAGGAGUUAUCUAGAUACAAUUCCUAUUAGAAUAAGGUUUAUCUCUUCUCUAUAUAUAUGAGUUAUCAAAGUUGUGAUAACCUUGUGAGAUUAGAGAGAGAUUAAGGGUUUUAGAAGCUUAAGUUUUGAGUUAUUUUCUUAAGCAAAUAAAGAGAGUUAUUCUUUAAAUUCUUGAAUUCUAAUCUUUCUUAAAGUCUAGAUUUGGUAUCAGAGCUUGACGAUCUUGGUUUUACACACACAAAUACUAAGAUCAUCAAACCAUGAGUGAGAUUGUUCCAACAAGCAACAAGAAGGAGGCUGUUCCCUCUUCUAUUCAAUGUCCAAUGCUAAACAGUACUAACUAUACUGCUUGGGCAAUGAAGAUGAGGUUGCUGUUGCGUGUUCAUAAGGUCUGGGAUACGAUUGAUCCUGGAUCCACUGAUAUUGAUAAAAACGACCUAGCUAGUGCCCUGAUCUUUCAAUCGGUUUCAGAAUCUCUUAUGCUGCAACUUGGACACUUAGACACCGCUAAGGCUGUAUGGGAUGCGAUCAAAACACGCAACCUUGGAGCAGAAAAAGUAAAAGAAGCACGACUUCAAACUCUUAUGGUUGAGUUUGAUCGAUUGACGAUGAAGGAGACAGACACCAUAGAUGACUUUGUUGGCAAGCUUUCUGAAAUUUCUUCCAAAGCAACAUCUCUUGGGGAAAGCAUUGAAGAAACCAAGAUUGUUAAGAAAUUUCUUAAAAGCUUACCAAUGCAGACGUACAUACAGAUUUCGGCCACCCUUGAACAAGUUUUGGAUCUCAAAACAACAUCUUUUGAGGAUAUAAUUGGGAGAAUCAAAACUUAUGAAGAACGAAUAAGUGCUGCAGAGGUAUCACAAGAGAAUCAAGGCAAGCUUAUGUAUGCAAACUCAGAGUCAUCAUCAUCCGGUCAUGAUCAAGAAGGAGGACAAGGCAGAGGUCGUGGUGGUUAUCGAGGCAGAGGACGAGGUCGAGGAAGGACAAAUUACCAACGUGAUACAUCCAAAGUCACGUGUUAUCGAUGCGACAAGUUAGGACACUAUGCGUCUAAUUGUCCGGAUCGCUUGCUCAAGCUAAUCAAAGCUCAAGAAGACCAAGAGAAAACAGAAGAUGAUACACAAGAAGCGGAAUCACUUAUGAUGCACGAAGUGGUUUUUCUCAAUGAGAAAAAUGUGAUUCCAAAAGAGCUUGAGGCAUCAUCGGACAAGGUGUGGUAUUUGGACAAUGGUGCGAGUAACCAUAUGUCGGGAAAUCAUACUUGGUUCAAAACAAUCGACACAACAAUCACGGGUAAAGUACGGUUUGGUGAUGAUUCUCGUGUCGAUAUCAAUUAAUGAUUUUUUAAAUUUUGUAAAAUACAAAACUUACUUUUGUGUAAGAAAGAAAAAUACAUGUGCUGAGAAUACAAAACAGUCGGUUCCUACUCAACUCAUAGAGGUAAUACAAAACUUACUUUUUGUAAAAACUUAAUUUCUAUUCAUAAGUUGCACUAACUGUAAAAACGUUAUUUUUCCUUAUAUGCUGAGAAUUGUGAAUCUAAAAAAUACAUUUUGGAUAGAAAGCCCGGUCCAAUAGAGGUUGAAGCUAAAAUUAUGUUGGAUAUAAAAAUAUGAUCAAUAGGGUUUAAUUGGUGACCAAGAAAAAAAAGAAGAUUAAUAGGGUUUUAUAUUCUGGCAAUUUGUCUCUGCGAUAUCUUCGGGAGUUUUAAAUUUCCAAUAGCUUACACCGGUAUUGUUAAGGUAUUGUUCAUCUUUAGGGGGAGUUAUUGGGAGAUGGAUUUUAAAAGAGUUUGUGGAUUUCAAAAGUUUAGAGAUUUUAAGAUUCUCAAAAAGAUUUGUUGAUUCUAAAAUAAUGUUUACCCAGAUUUUUAGAGUUUAAUAGAUUCUUCAUAUGAUAGACUCUACAAAUCCUUAUGAUAAUUGCAGUAUUUUGAAAGUUGUUUUUAAUGACUAAAUAUGUAAGGAAUCAUUAAACCAAUAACACCAGAAUUUGAUAGAAUUGGAAAAUCAAUAAAUACUCAACUUUUUGAAUAACAAAGGAUUUUAAAUAGAAUUACAAAAUAGAUACACCAAUAACAAGAGAUUUUAUUAAGAAUCUAAGAAUCUGUACACCAAUAACAAUAGAAUCUUAAACUCUAAAAAUCUUUAAAAGUCAUUCUCCCAAUAACCCCCCCUUAGAGUCUUCUAGGGUUUGGUCUCGUUCUAUAUCUGUGUACGUGGGUCGUCUCAGCAUGUUCUAGGGUUUUGUCUCGUUUCUAUGUGUGUAUGUGGCUGUGUUUCCUCUAAUGACCCAAUUUGUUUACUUGGCGCUUAAGACAAAUCCUUGGACUCUUAUGGUAUUCUAACUUAAUCCAUAGGUAUAAAGUUUCGUCUAUGGUCAUAAUGUAAUAGUAAGGUGAAGUCUUGGCUCUUGAAUUAAGUGUCACUAUAAAAUUUACAGUAACAUUUUUUGCGUUUCAAUGGUGUUUACCCAUUUGUAUUUACGGGCUCUGCUCCAUUCAUAUUGCUCUGUUUAGGAUUUUCCAUUUAAUAAAUUUUGAAUUGUAUUAUAAAAUUAUGAUUCGACCCGAUAUCAAACCCGACCCGACUACGACCCGUAUUCGAAAUUAUUGUCUUAUAUAUUAUCAAUUUAUCAUUCUAUCAUAUGUAGUUAUGUACGGUUCGGGAGAGUUCAAAUCAUUACCAGCUCUAACGGUAUAGUUUAUUACGUAUAAAGCAUGAUAUAAUCGCAUGUUUGAAUAUUUAAAUUUGUAAUCUUUUUACAAAUUAUAAUAACUGUACUGCUUAGAAAUUAUAUUUAGAAAAUUGAUCAAAUUUCUGAAAUUUUCCAAAUCAUCCAAAAUAUUUUUCUUAAAAUUAAGGUUCACAAAAAAAAAAGAAUAAAAAAAAAAUUAAACUUUACAAAGUUAUUGAAAGUUGGCUGUUCUGAACAUUAAAUAAAGAAAUAAUCUUUUGUUACCGUUGCCAUGAAGAAAAAAAAGGAAAUAAUUAACAGAAACGAAACCACUUAAUUACUUUCCUUUAAAAUAUAUUUAUUAAUCUGACCGUUGUGAGAGAUUAAUAUCAAAUUCCCUUUUUAUUUGAACUUCAUAAUUAAUUUGUUUCUCUCUCUCUCUCUCAACUCAACGCUUCUUUCUUCUUCUUCGUUCUUCCUUGAGAGAGAAAUCAAAACUCUUCUUCUUCAUCUUCUUCUUCAAAACCCUAAAUCCAUCAAUUUCUUUUGAAUUCCGAUGAUGAUGAUCCACCGGAAUCAUACUUAUACACACUCUGUAAAUUCCGAUGAUAAUGAUCCAAUCCAAGUGGAGAGACGUAUUGAAAUAAAAGCAACCCAAGGCGACGAUGAUCCGUGAGGAUAAGAUUGGAAAGUAAUUUUCGAUUAUCAUCGUUUUGUUUCGUUUAAUUGAUUGAAUGAGAGAUCAGAUCUGAUCUCCUCUGUUCUUCUUCUUCUUCUUCUUCAAUCUAAAAUCAAUAUCGAGAUUUCACAGGAUAUUGAAUCUAGGCCACGGAGACGAGCGAAUUCAAAAGUGAAGAGAGGAAUCGAAUCAAUCUGAGGUAUUCGUAAUAGUCCUCUGUCUUCUUUGGAUCUGAAUUUGUUAUCUAGACUUAUUAUUAGAGAAUAGAGAUGACGAUGAUGUUUAGUGUCUAGAGAAUGAAUACCUAAUUUGUAAAUUUGGUACAGAUCACAUAGUUUGUUGUGGAUGCUGAAACUUGUGAUAAGCGUAGGUAGUGAUUGGUUUGAUGCAUCACAUGACAACCUCGUAGAGUUGCAGAGCCAUGUUCGUGUGUGCUGAAAAAUUAUUGGGGAAGAAGAAGCUGGUUAAGCAUAUAUGGUCGUCUCAUUUAGAUUCUCUUCUUUAUUGUUUAUGUACAUGUGUCUAAUCAUAUGCUACUUAAUAUGACUAGGUACUUGACUGAUGCUAUGUUCCUGAGAGAAGCAAUGAAUCAAAGUGUUGAUAGUUUGAGUCCAUAGUCUCUGCUCACCGGAGAAGAGGUUUUACAGGCUUUAUACAGAGAAGAGUUUCAGUAAUGAUUGCAGCCGCAGACCUAUACUCAAAUAUUGAGAUCAAACCUUGCAAACACAGUUCUGACCUGGAUUUUAUGGAUGCUCCUGCUCCUGAAACGAGCCUUUGAAGUUUUAGAUUACUUGGGAGGACUGGAUGAUGUUGAAGGUAACUUGACAAAGACAUGUGAGAUAUUGAGUGAGUGAGUUAGUUCCCCUUGGAUCCACAGAUGGUGAAGAAGAUGCUCAUAGUCAUUCCUGGAUUCAACUGCUCAAAACAAGAUUCUCUAAGUUUCAGCCAUGCUCUUAGGUACGCCCUUACUUUUGUUUGGUAGUCUUAAACUUGCUACCAAUUUCCAUUCUUCAACUAGUCUAAUGUGCAUUAGCCUAAGUACUUAAAUGAUGCAUAUAUAUACUAGUUGCAGCUUCUCAGCUAUUCUCUCUCAUGAAGCAAAUGGUAUCAGUCUCAUAGUAGUUGCGAAUUGCUUUUUUCGGUAUAAAGAGGCUCAAAGCAGAGGAAGCUAAAGCUAGGUUUGGACACAUUGAUGGAAGAUCACCUCUCAUUGUUUGAACGUCAAGCAAAACAGUAAGUAAUUAUCCCUUUGUAUGUAGCUGCUUUAGACAAUUAAAAUCUACCGUAACUAACUUGGUCAAUGUAAAUUUCACAACGAUGGAGAUGCCAAUUGGUGCUAUGAAAACAGAGAGAGAUGAAAUCUGCAGACAAUGAUAAGAGAGCAGCUAGUUCAGAGAUAAUGUCAAAGUUCACAACCUGAAGAUGUGCAGCAUUCAUUUUACUACUACAUCGACGUAGGCACUAGUCAUUACUUGACAACCAAGUAUGUCAAGACUUAUAUCGUUGGACAAGAGAAGCAAUCCAAAUCAAGGUAUUAGCAGGUUUGUAAUACUCGUCAUCUUUUAAUUUGAUUUGGAGAAUUCAUAAAUUUGUGUGGUAUUAUAAAAUAAAGAUUGACAUCUCUGAUUCUCAUGGGUUAGUUUGGAACAUACAGGUGUAACUGCUCCCUCUUGUCUUUGGUUUCAAAUUUCAGAACAACCCAAGUCCAGAUUCUCAAGAC
RNAcentral lists this long non-coding RNA (6515 nucleotides) under Capsella rubella. RNAcentral's name for it is "long non-coding RNA (CRUB_LNC001788)". Lineage: Eukaryota; Viridiplantae; Streptophyta; Magnoliopsida; Brassicales; Brassicaceae. The record is from RNAcentral.